Molecule: ribosomal RNA, 403 nt
Filed under: uncultured bacterium
Lineage: Bacteria
Description: bacterial SSU rRNA
Rfam family: Bacterial small subunit ribosomal RNA
Source: RNAcentral
GACGAACGCUGGCGGCGUGCCUAACACAUGCAAGUCAACUUGAGGGAAGGAGCAAUCUGACCUGAUGGUGGCGCAAGGGUGCGUAACGCGUAAGUAACUUGCCCAAGGUAAGGAAUAACGUCGAGAAAUCGGCGCUAAUACCUCAUAAUGCAGCGGAUCCGCAUGGAUAUGUUGUUAAAGGUUUACCGCCUUGGGAUAGGCUUGCGUCUGAUUAGCUAGUUGGUGUGGUAAUGGCACACCAAGGCUACGAUCAGUAACUGGUCUGAGAGGAUGAUCAGUCACACUGGAACUGAGACACGGUCCAGACUCCUACGGGAGGCAGCAGUGAGGAAUAUUGGGCAAUGCACGAAAGUGUGACCCAGCAACGCUGCGUGGAGGAUGAAGGUAUUCUAUAUCGUAAACC